UUCUUCUGCAAUAUUUUACUUUUUACUUAGCAGUUAGGAAUCUUGACCAUUGGCUUUUCUUUCUUCUGCAAUAUUUUACUUUUUACUUUCCUCUAUCUCUGUAGUGUCUCUUCCAUACGCCCCCUUUCUCUCUCUUCUUUCAUCUUCACUUUCUCUAAAACCAUCAACAAUGAGCAACUUCUGAGCUUGCUCAUCUCCAUCAAAUGCAGUUGAAUUUUUUCAAGUGAUGGCUAUCCAAUUUAGCUGUGACCACUGAACAAGGCAAUUCGUAGGUUUUCGGUGUCGGAAACUUGCACGCUUUCUCUAUCUCAGUUUGAAGGUGAAAUGAUCGGUCAAAGAUUUAUGUUUUUUGUUACCUGUCAGUUUGAAGGUGAGUAUCUCGUUGCUAAGAAAAAGAGGAGAGAAAAUGCGAUGAUCGCGGCAGAGGUAAUGGUGGUGGUGAAGUUUUCGGCAGACUGCCGCCAUCUCAAGACUGCAACCACUUAAAAUAUAAAUGAAACUCAUAAACUUGUAAUGUAUUUUCUCUCCCUUUCAAUUUGCUGUGGUUGAAUAGGAAGGUGGAAAAUUGCUCAUUUCUUAAAAAUUAGGCUUUAAUUUUAAUAAACAAAACUUCUAAAUGGAAACUUCUUAAUUCAGGCAUUCUUUUUUGUCAUCAAAUUUUAAUUUUUGAGUUUUCUUCUUAUUUUGUUUAUAAUGUUCAUCGGUGUUGAGUUUCUACUUUAGUUGAGCUUUGUCAUUCAUCUGAGUAUCUAUGUGAAAUGAUCUGAUAUAACUCAUAAUUUUUUUUCUUUUCUCUUAAAUUUAGUAUUCUGGUAGUAUGAUUUUAUAUGAUAGUAUUUGUUAGUUCAAUUAUGCUUGCAUUUGUAUAAUUGAUCAUUAUCUCAUAAAACCCAAAAGGGAUUUUAUUUUAAAUAAAAAUAAAAAUUAGGGGUUUCUGAUUUAUUUCAGAUUGUUUAGAUUUUAAGGGGUUUUGUCAAUUCAAUUCAGUUUGUUUUAAAAAUGGUUUUAUUUUCUGAUUCAAUUCAAUUAGUUCAUAAUUUUGGGAUGGUUUGAUUCAAUUUGGUAUAUAAAACAGGUUUCAGAUUAAUGUUACAAAUCUCAUUGAUUUUGGAAACAAUAUAAAUCUACUUCAAUUAAUGUUCAUGGCACAAACGGUGUCUUUAUUGUGGCAUAGGGUCUGAUGCUCAAUGAUGAGAAUCAUUAGAUAAUAGUUGCCUUAAGAUACAAUUGGUCUUGAGUGAUAUUGAUAUUGUCGGAAUUUGUCAUGAAUUUACAACCUUUUGAAGUUGUUUGUUCUUUCCGAAAAAUUGACAAGGAAGUAUUUUUGGUGUUAGAAGUCUGAAAGGGCACAAAUUUCUAAUUAGACUUGGUUAUUGUAUUUAAUUUGCCAAGAUCAGAGAAGAAUGAGAAAUUAUUCUCCUUUGUCUUUGUUGUAAGAUUAAAUUUUCUCUUUCAAAUUAUAAUUUGUGGACUUGCUUCAUUCUUUCUGGAAAUGCAAUUAGAUUUUGUGCAGAACCCAUUAGAGAUAUUCCUUUAUUAGUUUGGUUUUAACUUUUUAUUUGAGGGCUUGAUGUGUUGUUUGAUAUGAAAAGGAAGGUCAAAGUACCGGAGUUUUUGAAUGGUAAAGGGAAAGGAGUAGAGGCUCAUGUGGGGAAGCUUGAGUUUGAGUUUGGGGACCUUCAAAAGUUGCUUGUCGUUCGCACUCUUAAGCUCAAGAAGCUUGAUUUUCCAUGUAAAAAUAUAUUAGCAGUGCAAGAGUUAAAAUACUUUGGGGGAAGUUGCCAAAUCGUACAUGUUCAUCACUAUCACGUGUAUCCCAUCGAGCAACAAGAUGGACAACCGUAUUACUUGCUCUACGUACAUGAGUUCUCUACAAUUCUGAAGAUAUUUCUUCACCAUUGUAGUUUUGGUUUAGGCAUAUAAUUUUUUUUUUGAAAUAUUUAGGGAUAUAUUAUUAUAUUUUAAGUAGCAAGUAUGGUAUUAAGCUUAUUAUUUGACGUAAUAUCUUAUUUAUUCAUCUUCUAGGAAAUUGCUCAUACAGAUUUGCCACCAACUUAUUCCAUCAGAUUAGGUCUUGCGAACCUUGAAUGUAUUUCACGUAAUUUAGCUUAGCUUUUGUAUGCCUGUUUAUGUAAUCAAUUUUAUUCCCAGGUGUUACUAAUUGCUAUACAUUGGUUAUAUACUGAUGCCUUCAAUUUGACAA
Chenopodium quinoa (quinoa) is the source of this 2203-nucleotide long non-coding RNA. RefSeq lists it as uncharacterized. The transcript has 3 exons. The record is from RefSeq and is a predicted model, not a curated record. NCBI's taxonomy places the organism in Eukaryota, Viridiplantae, Streptophyta, Magnoliopsida, Caryophyllales, Amaranthaceae.